UGCACGGUGGCGCAGUUGGUAGCACUUUUGCCUUGCAGUAAGAAGGUCCUGGGUUUGACUCCAGGCUGGGGGUCUUUCUGCAU
This is a non-coding RNA of Ataeniobius toweri, 83 nucleotides long. The record is from the annotation of a GenBank genome assembly. NCBI's taxonomy places the organism in Eukaryota, Metazoa, Chordata, Actinopteri, Cyprinodontiformes, Goodeidae.